This 1459-nucleotide ribosomal RNA is filed under the name metagenome. Its description in RNAcentral is "bacterial SSU rRNA". It matches the Rfam family "Bacterial small subunit ribosomal RNA". The record is from RNAcentral.
CGCUGGCGGCAUGCCUAACACAUGCAAGUCGAACGGUAACAGGCCCGCAAGGGUGCUGACGAGUGGCAAACGGGUGAGUAAUGCGUAGGAAUCUGCCCCAUAGCGGGGGAUAGCCCGGCGAAAGCCGGAUUAAUACCGCAUGCGCUCUACGGAGGAAAGCGGGGGAUCUUCGGACCUCGCACUAUGGGAUGAGCCUACGUCUGAUUAGCUAGUUGGUAGGGUAAAGGCCUACCAAGGCGACGAUCAGUAGCUGGUCUGAGAGGAUGAUCAGCCACACCGGAACUGAGACACGGUCCGGACUCCUACGGGAGGCAGCAGUGGGGAAUAUUGGACAAUGGGGGCAACCCUGAUCCAGCAAUGCCGCGUGUGUGAAGAAGGCCUGCGGGUUGUAAAGCACUUUUAUCGGGGAAGAAAAGCUUGGGAAUAAUACUCCUGGGUCUUGACGGUACCUGAAGAAUAAGCACCGGCUAACUCUGUGCCAGCAGCCGCGGUAAUACAGAGGGUGCAAGCGUUAAUCGGAAUUACUGGGCGUAAAGCGUGCGUAGGCGGUUUGACAAGUCGGGUGUGAAAGCCCCGGGCUCAACCUGGGAAUUGCAUUCGAAACUGUCAAGCUAGAGUCUAGGAGAGGGAAGCGGAAUUCCGGGUGUAGCGGUGAAAUGCGUAGAUAUCCGGAGGAACAUCAGUGGCGUAGGCGGCUUCCUGGCCUAAGACUGACGCUGAGGCACGAAAGCGUGGGUAGCAAACAGGAUUAGAUACCCUGGUAGUCCACGCCGUAAACGAUGAGAACUAGCCGUUGGGAAGGUUUAACUUCUUAGUGGCGCAGCUAACGCGAUAAGUUCUCCGCCUGGGGAGUACGGCCGCAAGGUUGAAACUCAAAGGAAUUGACGGGGGCCCGCACAAGCGGUGGAGCAUGUGGUUUAAUUCGAUACAACGCGAAGAACCUUACCAGGCCUUGACAUCUACAGAACUUUCCAGAGAUGGAUUGGUGCCUUCGGGAACUGUAAGACAGGUGCUGCAUGGCUGUCGUCCUCGUGUCGUGAGAUGUUGGGUUAAGUCCCGCAACGAGCGCAACCCCUGUCCCUAGUUGCCAGCACGUAAUGGUGGGAACUCUAGGGAGACUGCCGGUGACAAACCGGAGGAAGGUGGGGAUGACGUCAAGUCAUCAUGGCCCUUAUGGCCUGGGCUACACACGUGCUACAAUGGUCGGUACAAAGGGGCGCGAAGCCGCGAGGUGGAGCAAAUCCCAGAAAGCCGAUCUCAGUCCGGAUUGGAGUCUGCAACUCGACUCCAUGAAUUCGGAAUCGCUAGUAAUCGUAGAUCAGCACUGCUACGGUGAAUACGUUCCCGGGCCUUGUACACACCGCCCGUCACACCAUGGGAGUUGGCUGCAAAAGAAGUAGGUAGUCUAACCGUAAGGAGGGCGCUUACCACUUUGUGGUCAAUGACUGGGGUGAAGUCG